This 528-nucleotide ribosomal RNA is filed under the name uncultured bacterium. RNAcentral describes it as "bacterial SSU rRNA". It matches the Rfam family "Bacterial small subunit ribosomal RNA", at positions 314 to 839 of the family's 1533-position model. The record is from RNAcentral.
UGGUACUGAGACACGGACCAAACUCAUACGGGAGGCAGCAGUGAGGAAUAUUGGUCAAUGGACGCAAGUCUGAACCAGCCAUGCCGCGUGCAGGAUGACGGCUCUAUGAGUUGUAAACUGCUUUUGUACGAGGGUAAUAUCAGAUACGUGUAUCUGCAUGAAAGUAUCGUACGAAUAAGGAUCGGCUAACUCCGUGCCAGCAGCCGCGGUAAUACGGAGGAUCCAAGCGUUAUCCGGAUUUAUUGGGUUUAAAGGGUGCGUAGGCGGUUUUAUAAGUUAGAGGUGAAAAUUCGGGGCUCAACUCCGGACGUGCCUCUAAUACUGUAUGACUAGAGAAUAGAUGCGGUAGGCGGAAUGUAUGGUGUAGCGGUGAAAUGCGUAGAGAUCAUACAGAACACCGAUUGCGAAGGCAGCUUACCAAACUAUGUCUGACGUUGAGGCACGAAAGCGUGGGGAGCAAACAGGAUUAGAUACCCUGGUAGUCCACGCAGUAAACGAUGAUAGCUCGUUGUCGGCGAUACAUUGUCG